UACAGAGGUCCCGAGCGUUGUUCGGAUUCACUGGGCGUAAAGGGUGCGUAGGUGGCAUGGUAAGUUUGAUGUGAAAGCUCAGGGCUUAACCCUGAAAUGGCAUUGAAUACUACCGUGCUGGAGGUUUGGAGGGGGGACUGGAAUUCUUGGUGUAGCAGUGAAAUGCGUAGAUAUCAAGAGGAACACCAGUGGCGAAGGCGAGUCCCUGGACAACACCUGACACUGAGGCACGAAAGCUAGGGGAGCAAACAGGGUUAGAAACCCCAGUAGUUC
This 273-nucleotide ribosomal RNA is filed under the name uncultured bacterium. RNAcentral describes it as "partial 16S ribosomal RNA". It matches the Rfam family "Bacterial small subunit ribosomal RNA", at positions 524 to 796 of the family's 1533-position model. The record is from RNAcentral.